This is a long non-coding RNA of Eriocheir sinensis (Chinese mitten crab), 1028 nucleotides long. RefSeq lists it as uncharacterized. The record is from RefSeq and is a predicted model, not a curated record. The transcript is spliced from 2 exons. Lineage: Eukaryota; Metazoa; Arthropoda; Malacostraca; Decapoda; Varunidae.
GGAUGACAAAGCGGAGGGGUUCAGGUGUGGGAAAGUUAUGGGCUAUAGGUGUGUAGGGCUGAGAGUCAUGUUUGUAAACUUAAGAGUCCAGUCACCCACAUUUGACAAGGCUUUUGUAGGACUUGCGGGCCUUUUCACCUGUAGUUUUAUGACCCUAGUGGUAGUUUUACAAAGCCUAUGUACCAUGAGCGUGUGAAAACAUUUAUCAGGACGUGAUUUAUCGUCUUUUCGACCUCUGUAAGUAGUUGAUGUGGGAGGCGGAAACGUCUGAGAAUACCGAUCUGAGUAUUGUUACAUACCACAGACAACCCAAAGCGACUCCAUAUAAGCAGGCAGAGGGUGGACUCCAUAUAAGCAGGAAGAGGGUGGACUCCAUAUAAGCAGGCAGAGGGUGGACUCCAUAUAAGCAGGAAGAGGGUGGACUCCAUAUAAGCAGGAAGAGGGUGGACUCCAUAUAAGCAGGAAGAGGGUGGACUCCAUAUAAGCAGGAAGAGGGUGGACUCCAUAUAAGCAGGAAGAGGGUGGACUCCAUAUAAGCAGGCAGAGGGUGGACUCCAUAUAAGCAGGCAGAGGGUGGACUCCAUAUAAGCAGGAAGAGGGUGGACUCCAUUUAAGCAGGAAGAGGGUGGACUCCAUAUAAGCAGGCAGAGGGUGGACUCCAUAUAAGCAGGCAGAGGGUGGACUCCAUAUAAGCAGGCAGAGGGUGGACUCCAUAUAAGCAGGCAGAGGGUGGACUCCAUAUAAGCAGGAAGAGGGUGGACUCCAUAUAAGCAGGCAGAGGGUGGACUCCAUAUAAGCAGGAAGAGGGUGGACUCCAUAUAAGCAGGCAGAGGGUGGACUCCAUAUAAGCAGGCAGAGGGUGGACUCCAUAUAAGCAGGCAGAGGGUGGACUCCAUAUAAGCAGGCAGAGGGUUGAGGUAGAGUUAGACAUACCAUUUAUACCCCUGCCCAUACCCCACUUGACAGAAAAAAACAAAGAGGAAGAAGUGUUAGCAGGUGUGAAAGAGGUGUUAGACAUGCGACAGACA